RNAcentral lists this ribosomal RNA (374 nucleotides) under uncultured bacterium. RNAcentral's name for it is "bacterial SSU rRNA". It matches the Rfam family "Bacterial small subunit ribosomal RNA", at positions 523 to 898 of the family's 1533-position model. The record is from RNAcentral.
AUACGUAGGUGGCGAGCGUUGUCCGGAAUUACUGGGCGUAAAGGGUGCGUAGGCGGCUCUUUAAGUGAGGUGUGAAAGCCCUGGGCUUAACCCAGGGAUUGCACUUCAAACUGGAGAGCUAGAGUGCAGGAGAGGAAAGUGGAAUUCCCAGUGUAGCGGUGAAAUGCGUAGAGAUUGGGAGGAACACCAGUGGCGAAGGCGACUUUCUGGACUGUAACUGACGCUGAGGCACGAGAGCGUGGGGAGCAAACAGGAGUAGAUACCCUGGUAGUCCACGCUGUAAACGAUGAAUACUAGGUGUAGGGGGCGAAGCCCUCUGUGCCGCAGUUAACACAUUAAGUAUUCCGCCUGGGGAGUACGAUCGCAAGAUUAAA